Molecule: long non-coding RNA, 1780 nt
Organism: Tripterygium wilfordii
Lineage: Eukaryota; Viridiplantae; Streptophyta; Magnoliopsida; Celastrales; Celastraceae
Exons: 11
Source: RefSeq, a predicted model, not a curated record
GAGAGGGUUUUAGAUGGUCUGAUGAUUCGAAACGGCAUCGGUUUUUUGUUUUAGCUAGAGACUUCUAUUUGUCGUCUUCUGGUCAAAAGCAAAACUCUGGGUUCAUGAACUGCAGCAGAUACUUGCUUGGUGCUUGAAUCAACUCAGUUGUGUUGUGGGUAUUCCUCCGGGCUUGUGAUGCGGGUGUGAGGCGGAGUUCUGGCACUGUGUUCUAUCGCCAUUUGUUUUGUAGGUUCGUUGCCUUAAUUUGUUAGUCUGCUAAUUUUUUGUAGCUUCUGUGGGUGAUUUGGUGUGUCGUGUUGGAUUGUUCGACUUGCUCCGGCUCAGUUAGCUUGAUUUGGAGAAGUACCCAGAACCCAAUUAUUAGUGUGUGUUCUCAUUGUUAAUUAUCUUUGCGCUCAAGAUUAUGCAUUUUCCAUUGUACGGAUUAUCCACUUAUUUGUGUGUAAAGAGAGGUGAGCUUAAAUUUUCAUCACACCACGGGGUGGGUAUUCGUGCGGGAUUGAGCUGCGGGUGUGAGGCGGAGUUCUGAGAUUGUGUUGGCUUGCCUUUUGUAUUCCAAUGGCCAUGGAAGACAAUGGGUUGUUCACUGUUAUGGAGAUGCACAUCCAUGGUUGCUUUUUUCUUGCUUAUUCCUACAAUGCGUUUGUAUCUUGGGUUACUACUGAUUGUUGUGUUCAGAUAAAGAGGAUGGACUUAAACUAAAAUGUCGUCUUUGAUGCUUUGUAUUGUAGUUGAAUGAUACUGCUUUUCAUCUUCCCAAUGGAGCAAUUGUUAAUGAGGUAAUUGCUAUCACACUGUUCUUUUGCGCUUCUUUGUGCUCCAUUGUGGUUGUUCAAACCAAGAAUUGGUUUGUCAUGUGUAUAGUUGAUAUGCUUCCUUUUCUAAUUUUGUCGUACUGUUGCAUGCAUAGUUUUGUUCUGGCAUUAUUUUUGGUUUUCUCAGCUGAUAAACAAUUUUUUGAUGUCUUAUUUUUAUUAUUAUGCACCUGCCCCUACAAUUUAUGUUGGAGUCUGCUGGUAUGCUGCUGUCUUGAAUGGUUAUUGGGAAGAGAUGUUUAGUUGUGCGAAGAGCAGCCACGUUCCUGAUUCUGCAGGCCUUGACAAUCUCACAUUUCUGCAAAUAGUGUGCUUGCUAUGAAGAAGUACCUGAACUCCAAGAUACGAGAGGACAAGUGAAGGUGGGCGCGGUGUUAUAAGUUGACUGGGUAACAGGAAGAGCUCAAAUUGUUGCAGCAAUGGGGAAUACAGUCCUCGGCUUCGUAUGUUCUUGCUCUUAAGGACGUCUUAGGUGCCCACAAAUUCAUCCUCCUCCAUCGAGGUAUGUGAUGUAUACUGUAAAAUCAUAGACCAAAAACUAGGAGGUGAAUGAUGAUGGCGAGCAAGGCAAAAAUAUACAUGGCUCUGUUGAAUGGAUGGAGCUGGUGUUGUGUCUGGUUCUUAAUUUAAGCCCAACAUCAUCAGUAAUUCUUCUUUUGCACAUAUAAUUAAGCUCUUCUUUCUUGCCUUUUUAUUUUGUGUAAUUUUUGGUAAAUACCAAUUAAAAUGGAUUUAAAGAGGAAGAUGGCAAAGGGGUACUUGAUCGUGGAAACAUGGGAGAGAACAUGAAGCGAUCCGAGUGGGAAUUGCUAUAUAUAAAUUGUUGUGCACGAUCAGUUAAUGGAACCAUCCUUUGCUUGAUUAUUCCCAUACCAGAUUGGUACUCCAUAAGGACUUCAUGGUGUUACUCAACACCUGUAGUUUUCUUGAUGAUGAUAAACAACAACUUGGUAUUCUAUUCA